Oryzias melastigma (Indian medaka) is the source of this 1305-nucleotide long non-coding RNA. RefSeq lists it as uncharacterized. Lineage: Eukaryota; Metazoa; Chordata; Actinopteri; Beloniformes; Adrianichthyidae. The record is from RefSeq and is a predicted model, not a curated record. The transcript is spliced from 5 exons.
AACUUUUCCUUAGACGGUUUAAACCUGCCUUUCGUGUUAUUUCCCACGUAUCCCCAUCACGCGAUGGUCGACAGAGAAGUGGCACAAUAACACGGCGGAGCUGCAUGUGGGAGGAAGUUGAGACUCUCUCUCUUAGGGAGGAUUAAACACUCUGGAACAGAGAGGAGCUUCUAGUUGGCAACCUCCCCCUAAUCUUUGGUACAGAACUGAGUGAUAGCAUUAGAAACUUUCACCAUAGAUAACUUUUCCUCCAGCCCUCACAAGGCUGCUGGAUGUUUGUUUGGAAAAGCCAAUUCCUCAGACAGUCUCCUCGCUCCUGUGUGCUCCUGUGUGCUGCAAUGGGCUUUACGUUUCUCUGCUGAUUUAUUGAGCAUCUCCCACUCAGACUUUUCCUCUCUCCAGCUGAUAGCAGAGCACAGUAGGCCUUUAAAACAUCCAUCCCAUCUGGUGAUAGAGUGCCUGUUGUGCUGUCAGCCAUCCCAGAAGAUUACUAGCGAGGUUUCUGACGGGGAAGGAGGAAGCGCGGAUAAUCCGCAGAAGGGUCCGGCCAGGUCGUGUCAUCGCAUAUCACUAAAAUUUACACUCCUAAAUGUGGAUCAGGGGACUCUUUAAGGAGGAGCGGCGAAGUGAUACCUUGGUGGAAAAAUAAAAUAUGGAACAGAUGGCUAUCUUCUGUGUGCAGUAUUGAAACUGGAGCCAACUGGUGGAUACUUUCCAAACGUUCCGAAAAAGCAGGAGCCAUAGAGCCACUAUGGAGGGGUAAAGGGGCCACAUAUGGCUCCAGAGCCUCAGGUUGGUUGUACUGCAGCAACAGGACCACCCCCGAGCUGGAGAAAGGUGGCUUCAGCGGCUACUCCCCAACAGUCCUGUUCCAUUUUUCUAUGGACAUACAACGUAUCGGACCCCUGAAGAGAUGUGGCCGACAGAGCGAGUCAAAGACGAAGGAUCAGCCAGCAUCCCUCUCCUCCUCCUCCUCUUCUUCCCCUUCACCCCGGCCUCUCGCAGAUGAAAGGGGCCGCGCAAGGCCAGUGGACGGCCGGUGGGGUGUGUGCUAUGCGAGGGCCCCAGACCCAGACACAACACAACCCACGGCUCUGCAGGCCACCACAGCUGGGCUGGAAUGUUGACCCGCUUCAGAAUUUAAUGCCAGACAAGGGCCUGUGUGUGCGAAGUCCAAAAACGAGGGCGAUGUCAACGAGAAAACAAGCGUGCUUGGACUGUCGGAGCUUUUUGACAAAUUGCAGAAAAGCCUAGGGGCUGUUUCCUCCAUCUCAGCAGAACAAAUAAAAAAGGACGAACGUGGAA